AUGUGUGCGUGCUCAGUCACUUCAGUUGUGUCUGACUCUUUGCGACCCUAUGGACCAUAGCCUGCCAGGCUCCUCUGUCCAGGAGAUUCUCCAGCCACCACCUUCAGUUCCAGUUCCAGAAGUAUCUGAUUUACCACUGUUGGAAAUGCUCUCAAACGGUGUCACAGGAAUAAAACAGACAAUCAAAAAUGGCCCGGCAAGGCAGUCUUUAUUUCUGCAGAAGGAUGUGCUACAGACAAAGGCCUGGGAGCGAGCACACUUGAGUGGGAAGUCUGCUUGGUUUGUAUCCCUAAGACGCAGGUUCCCUCCUCUGACUCCUCAUAGGUUGAUGACCAGAGUUUCGAUCUUUCCUGGAUGUUGCCUAAGUUUUUUAUUAGACAAUUGGUCUCCAUGAG
Long non-coding RNA from Bos taurus (domestic cattle), 395 nucleotides. The record is from Ensembl. Lineage: Eukaryota; Metazoa; Chordata; Mammalia; Artiodactyla; Bovidae.